Molecule: unclassified non-coding RNA, 3083 nt
Filed under: Hevea brasiliensis (rubber tree)
Lineage: Eukaryota; Viridiplantae; Streptophyta; Magnoliopsida; Malpighiales; Euphorbiaceae
Source: RNAcentral
UUUGAAAGUAAUCAAGCACCUGCAAUGCCAAGCUUCUGAGCCUUUGGUUCAGUGGUCACAAUCAUUACAGAUAGUAGAUACUCAAUGUGUUCCAACAGAGAGGACUAUUGAGCCAGUGGUUUAGUAUAAUGAGAUUUGACUGCUUUAUUUCCAAGUUUGCGAUCAACAAAACCAAUGGAAAGUAGAAAACUUAUGUACGUCCUUAGACAAAUCGGUGCAAAAAUCAAAGAUGAUAUAUUUUUAACAAUGGAAUACAUAUAAUAUCCUGAUUAAAGUUAGCAAAUAUGAACAUCCAGUCAUUUCAAUGAAAUUGAAACUAGAAAGAGCCACAUCAAGUACAUAAGAAAUACAAUCAGAACCAAUAAACAAAUAAUUGCUAACCUGGUUUAUUCAAAUAAGCAGCAAAAUUAGAUUUUUUGAACAGAACGCACAAGUAAACAAACAUUGUAUAAUUUAAGCUUCAUAUCAUGAUUGGUCCACACAAAGAUUGUAUACAUUCAUGUCAUCUUCUGAUCCUCACAAAUCACAACCCAAAGAAUUAAUACAGAAAAAACCCCAGUAUCUCCCAUCACAAUCGCCCAUUAUAUCUUAUCUUUUCUCGAUCACAAACAAUAAAAAAAAAAAAAAGAAAUUUCAAGUCCCUUUUAAUAAUACGCGUAAACCACAGGGUACUAAAGUGUAUUUUUUCCUAUAUUAUUUUAUAAAAAUUAAAAGUGUUAAAUCAUGUCAAAGCAUAUCAAAUGAGUCAUAUUGGGUCGUUCAAAUCAUAGUAAAUGGGUUGAGUUAUGUAAAAUUGUGUUAAAUAAGUUAAUUUGUGUCGAAUUGUAUUAAAGGGGUCAUGUUGUAUCGAAUUAAGAUUUAAUAUUUAUCGUAUCAUGUCCUAUAACUCAUAUAAUAAAAGGAUUAUGUUCGUAUUCAGAUUUUUGAUAUAAUUCAUUAAUCAUGUAGUGUUCAUGUUGACCCUAAUCAUGUUUUGGUUGUGUUCGUGUUGCCAACCCGAAUUUCCACCCCUAUUCUAGGGCUUGAAUAAAAUUUAGAAAUGAGCUUGAAUAAAAUUAAGAAAUGAACUAACUAAUGAGUAUAAAUACAUCAGGUAAGGCAUUAAAUCCUUAUUGAAUAUUCAUUAUUAAAAGAUCAUCUUCAAUAACUAGUGCAGAACAACAUAAAGAUAAAGAUCUAACCUUAUCUCCUACAAAAAGUCAUAAGUAUAGCACAAAACAAAUGUUUGUACAUUAAAUUUGCUAAAACAACAACAACAAAGUCAAAGUUGACUCACCUUUUUAUGAGAAAGUGUGAAAUGGCACAAAAUGAACUCCCGUUAAUUUUUCUUUUUUAACUUAUUACAAAAUGAAGUCGAGCUAAAUUUUCAUUGAGAAAGAAUUUUGAGACUUAGGUUGAAGAAGGCUAAGAAUGACAUGAGAAAUGGUGUCUGGAAAAGUGGGAUUAUGGGUAACAAAAGCUAGGAAAAAAAAAAAAAGUAGCCCCUUUUGUAUUGGUAUAUGGUAAUGGCGAUUACCCAUGCAAUUUUUUAUAACCUUUAAGGCAUGAUGAUAACAAGACAUUAAAAAUCCAUUAAAUAAUGGCUGUUAAAAGUGAGGCUAUUUGAAACCAUGCCAAGGAAGGUCUUUAUGAAUGCACCUAGUUUUGCGAUUGAGCUUUCUAAUGCACGUAGUUUUCUGCAAAGAGAAAAAUGGGGCUACCGUACACAAAAUCUAUUGUAAAAUUUGCAAAAUGUGCUAAACUAAUAGACUUUAGAUAUUAAAGAAGUUCACUGAAAUUAAGAAAUGCAGCUAAACGAUGGGCAUAAAUGCAUCAAAUAUGCAAAUUGAAUCCUCCAUAUUUAUAUUCAUGAGGCAUCAACUUAAGUAGUAACUAGCAAUUGCUACACAAAAAAUUAUAGAUCUAGUGGACUAAUGCAUGAUGUUAAUAGAUCCAUCAUAAAAAUAGUAUAAACCUGAACUUUUCAACAACAAAUUUGUAAAUGCAAGAAAGGAAGCCUGAAAAAGAUAAAAUUAAUGCACCUCACAUUGUUAUAGAACUAGCACAUUGCAAGCUGAAGCUGUGUAUGACUAUGAGAUACCUUACGCCUAAAAUUCAAGUGGUUAUUAAACUAUUGUUUUAAUAAGCUGCUUUUAUAUUUUCUCAUUAUCUAUAUUGAAAUUUGUGCAUGCCUGUAUUUCUCUGUUUUAUUUGUAGAUAUGUUCUCGAAUCAGAGAAUAUGAAGAAAUUCUUUGAUUAUAUACAACUUCCAAAUUUUGACAUUGCAGCAGAUGCUGCUGCUACUUUUAAGGAACUCCUGACAAGACAUAAAUCUACGGUAGCAGAAUUUCUUUCAAAGAAUUAUGAAUGGUUCUUUGCAGAGUAUAAUUCAAAGCUACUAGAAUCUGUCAAUUACAUUACCAGGCGACAAGCUAUCAAGCUGUUGGGAGAUAUAUUACUGGAUCGCUCAAAUUCAGUUGUGAUGACACGAUAUGUGAGCUCAAGGGAUAACUUGAGGAUUCUUAUGAAUCUUCUCAGAGAAUCCAGUAAAAGCAUCCAGACAGAAGCAUUUCAUGUUUUCAAGCUCUUUGUUGCAAAUCAAAAUAAACCUCCCGACAUUAUUACCAUACUCGUAGCAAAUAGAAGCAAACUUUUGCGUUUGUUUGCUGAUUUCAAAACUGAUAAAGAGGAUGAACAAUUUGAAGCGGACAAAGCGCAAGUUGUGAAAGAAAUAGCUGCCCUUGAACCUAGAGACCGGACAUGAGUGAGUUUGGUUCACUUGUUGUAAUAUCAUUUUAUUUGCCUUGUUAAAUUUCAUCUGUGAAUUAUAUAUAAAUAGCCUAAUCAUGAUACCAGUAAUCAAUAUCCGAGAAAAACCUUUAUUUUUUCCAUGUACUUUUCCUCUCGGUCACACCUUUGGGCAGUUUCUGAUUCCAUCAUUCUGUAUUUUAAUAAGAAGACGAGAGUGUUAAUGCUAUGUUUGGCCAUUGGUGAUACUCCAAUUGUUUGUCAAAAUACACUAGUAGAACUUGGUCUGUGUUAUGGAUUUUCUUUGCCCUGCAAAAAACUAUGUAAAUUGAGAAAAAUUAUAAAUAAAUGACAAA